GAAAUGCGAUAAGUAAUGCGAAUUGCAGAAUUCCGUGAGUCAUCGAAUCUUUGAACGCACAUUGCGCCCUCUGGUAUUCCGGAGGGCAUGCCUGUCCGAGCGUCAUUAGUCCAUCUCAAGCCCGGCUUGUCGUUGGGUCUCACCGCCCCAAGGCGGUGGGCCCGAAAUUUAAUGACGGGGUCCGACGCCCGUGGAUGCAGCGAGCUUUACAGCACGUGUCCCGACGUCGUCGCGGCCUUGUCUUCAACCUCAUUUUCUCUAGGUUGACCUCGGAUCAGACAGGACUACCCGCUGAACUUAA
This 301-nucleotide unclassified non-coding RNA is filed under the name uncultured Verrucariaceae. Its description in RNAcentral is "sequence contains ITS1". The stretch from base 1 to 105 matches the Rfam family "5.8S ribosomal RNA", at positions 50 to 154 of the family's 154-position model. Lineage: Eukaryota; Fungi; Ascomycota; Eurotiomycetes; Verrucariales. The record is from RNAcentral.